RNAcentral lists this transfer RNA (94 nucleotides) under Treponema primitia ZAS-2. RNAcentral describes it as "tRNA-SeC (TCA) (tRNA-SeC-TCA-1-1)". It matches the Rfam family "Selenocysteine transfer RNA". RNAcentral also lists the same sequence under 1 other name. Lineage: Bacteria; Pseudomonadati; Spirochaetota; Spirochaetia; Treponematales; Treponemataceae. The record is from RNAcentral.
GGAGGUGAAUGUCGCCUGGUGGCGGCUGCGGACUUCAAAUCCGUCAAAGGGUGGAAACGUCCUUGGUGAGUUCGAUUCUCACACGCCUCCGCCA